RNAcentral lists this transfer-messenger RNA (392 nucleotides) under Clostridiales bacterium. It matches the Rfam family "transfer-messenger RNA". From Rfam's summary of the family: Bacterial tmRNA, also known as 10Sa RNA or SsrA, is named for its dual tRNA and mRNA-like properties. Lineage: Bacteria; Bacillati; Bacillota; Clostridia; Eubacteriales. The record is from RNAcentral.
GGGGAUGUAAUGGCUUCGACGGCGCGGGGCUUGCGAAGGAAAGCAAGUGGUAGGGUCGGCUACCUAAAAACGCAAAAGGCUUUAAUUGCCAACAAAAAGGAAAAUGCCAAAGUGGUGAAGUUCGCAGCUCCGGCGGCGGCUCCCGCAAUGGCACUCGCGGCGUAAGGUACGCUGCAAGUCCGCACCCGCUACCUAUCGGCGGGAGCGCGGGCUUAAAGUAACGGUAGGCAACUCGAUGCGGCGGCGGUCGAUCCGCACCGAGUAACAAGACCUUGCGGACGUAAACCUUUGUGUAUUGCGGUUUCCGUUCGGACAAUGAGCAAUAAACUAAACUUGUAGAUGUCCCCGCAUAUCCGUGUCGGAAAGGGGUUCGACCCCCCUCAUCUCCACCA